Molecule: non-coding RNA, 524 nt
Organism: Pelodiscus sinensis (Chinese soft-shelled turtle)
Lineage: Eukaryota; Metazoa; Chordata; Testudines; Trionychidae
Source: RefSeq, a predicted model, not a curated record
GGGCGGGCCCAGCCGCACCCAGCGCUCUCUGUCAGCGGCGAGCAUGGCCAGCACUACCACUUGCUGCUGCCCUCCUUCUUCCACCUCCUGGAGACCCUGCACCAGGAGGGGAGGCACUUCGCCGUCAUCCUGAGGACCUUCGGCACAGACCUCCCCCGUGCCCUGCACGCCGUGCACUGUGCCUUGGAGGGGCAGCACCCCCAGUUCCCUGCCCUGCGGGACCUCUCGCUCCCGGUGGACCUUACAGCAGGCCGCAUCCGCUGCAGUGAGCGCGAGGUGGUGCUGAGCCAGGGAGCAGAGCGCGUUUCCAGCAGGGACGGAGGAAGGAAGCUGUACAGCUAUUUCAGCUCCCUGGAGGGCGUGGUUGGCUUCCAAGACCACUUUGAUUGGUGGGCCAGUAAUCAGUUCUCCUGCCGGGGUGGGAAGCCUGUUUGGAUUGACCCGCACGACUCCUGCGUGCAGCACAUCUUCAUCGACGACAACGUUCGCCCGGACGACUCGGACUCCAUCGUCUGCCCCCAGGU